GAUGAACGCUGGCGGCGUGCCUAAUACAUGCAAGUCGAGCGAACAGACGAGGAGCUUGCUCCUCUGACGUUAGCGGCGGACGGGUGAGUAACACGUGGAUAACCUACCUAUAAGACUGGGAUAACUUCGGAAAACCGGAUCUAAUACCGGAUAAUAUAUUGAACCGCAUGGUUCAAUAGUGAAAGACGGUUUUGCUGUCACUUAUAGAUGGAUCCGCGCCGCAUUAGCUAGUUGGUAAGGUAACGGCUUACCAAGGCGACGAUGCGUAGCCGACCUGAGAGGGUGAUCGGCCACACUGGAACUGAGACACGGUCCAGACUCCUACGGGAGGCAGCAGUAGGGAAUCUUCCGCAAUGGGCGAAAGCCUGACGGAGCAACGCCGCGUGAGUGAUGAAGGUCUUCGGAUCGUAAAACUCUGUUAUUAGGGAAGAACAAAUGUGUAAGUAACUAUGCACGUCUUGACGGUACCUAAUCAGAAAGCAACGGCUAACUACGUG
RNAcentral lists this ribosomal RNA (497 nucleotides) under uncultured bacterium. RNAcentral's name for it is "partial 16S ribosomal RNA". It matches the Rfam family "Bacterial small subunit ribosomal RNA", at positions 28 to 507 of the family's 1533-position model. The record is from RNAcentral.